This 465-nucleotide ribosomal RNA is filed under the name uncultured bacterium. Its description in RNAcentral is "partial 16S ribosomal RNA". It matches the Rfam family "Bacterial small subunit ribosomal RNA", at positions 28 to 507 of the family's 1533-position model. The record is from RNAcentral.
GACGAACGCUGGCGGCGUGCUUAACACAUGCAAGUCGAACGGAAAGGCCCUGCUUGCAGGGUACUCGAGUGGCGAACGGGUGAGUAACACGUGGGUGAUCUGCCCUGCACUUCGGGAUAAGCCUGGGAAACUGGGUCUAAUACCGGAUAGGAGCCAUUUUUAGUGUGAUGGUUGGAAAGUUUUUUCGGUGUAGGAUGAGCUCGCGGCCUAUCAGCUUGUUGGUGGGGUAAUGGCCUACCAAGGCGGCGACGGGUAGCCGGCCUGAGAGGGUGGACGGCCACAUUGGGACUGAGAGACGGCCCAAGCUCCUACGGGAGGCAGCAGUGGGGAAGAUUGCACAAUGGGCGCAAGCCUGAUGCAGCGACGCCGCGUGGGGGAUGACGGCCUUCGGGUUGUAAACUACUUGCGCUAGGGACGAAGCUUUUUGUGACGGUACCUAGAUAAGAAGCACCGGCUAACUACGUG